ACUUAAUAACGCAAGCUUGUCUUGAAGAAGAAAAACAAAGCCAUAAACCCCACCUAAAACCCCUCCACCGCUUUUCUCUCUUCAUCUUCGGGUUUGAAGCAAGAACAAAAGGCAGAGGUAGAUCGAUCGAACCUACAAAAGGUCAAGAUAGAGCUUUGGUUCUUUACUUGCUCUGUGGCAGAUCGAGCUCUUGGUCCAAACUACAAUGAGAAAGUCCUGACUUGGAUAAUCCAUGAAACACUUAUCUCCAGGGUGAGGCCAAGACUGCUGAAGUGAUUUCUCAUUCCUUGCACCAAGAAAAAAUGAAGCUGCUAGAGAGAUUGCUCUGGUUAUAUCAAAUGCGAAGAACAAGGUGUUCUAGAAUGCCGGUGACCUUCUGCUGAACCUUCAAGAGAUGGGUUUGGCGAACCCAAUCAAUAGAAAAUAGUUAGCAGUGAAGUUAAAGCUUGUGGUCUAUGCACUUGUUUCAGUAUUCACGUUAUGAAUGACUAGAAUAUUGAGGAACGAUAUUAUGUCAGUUUAUUAGCUGUUCCCUGCUUCAGUACUCCCUGCUAAAUGCCCUUAUUAUGUUUACUUUAAUAACGUCUAUCAAAAGGGGUUGUUGACAGAACACCCCCCAGGCUGUAAGAGAGCUGACCAUGAACUGAUCUUAUGUGCUGAUAAAAUGUUUGGUGUUUUUGUUUGGCCUUU
Long non-coding RNA from Populus nigra (black poplar), 690 nucleotides. RefSeq lists it as uncharacterized. Lineage: Eukaryota; Viridiplantae; Streptophyta; Magnoliopsida; Malpighiales; Salicaceae. The transcript has 2 exons. The record is from RefSeq and is a predicted model, not a curated record.